This 253-nucleotide ribosomal RNA is filed under the name uncultured bacterium. RNAcentral's name for it is "partial 16S ribosomal RNA". It matches the Rfam family "Bacterial small subunit ribosomal RNA", at positions 524 to 776 of the family's 1533-position model. The record is from RNAcentral.
UACGUAGGGUGCAAGCGUUGUCCGGAAUUAUUGGGCGUAAAGAGCUCGUAGGCGGUUUGUCGCGUCUGCUGUGAAAUCCCGAGGCUCAACCUCGGGCCUGCAGUGGGUACGGGCAGACUAGAGUGCGGUAGGGGAGAUUGGAAUUCCUGGUGUAGCGGUGAAAUGCGCAGAUAUCAGGAGGAACACCGGUGGCGAAGGCGGGUCUCUGGGCCGAUACUGACGCUGAGGAGCGAAAGCGUGGGGAGCGAACAGG